UAUGGCUGUCGUCAGCUCGUGUCGUGAGAUGUUCGGUUAAGUCCGGCAACGAGCGCAACCCACGUCCUUAGUUGCCAGCAGUUCGGCUGGGCACUCUAAGGAAACUGCCCGUGAUAAGCGGGAGGAAGGUGUGGAUGACGUCAAGUCCUCAUGGCCCUUACGGGUUGGGCUACACACGUGCUACAAUGGUAGUGACAAUGGGUUAAUCCCAAAAAGCUAUCUCAGUUCGGAUUGUCGUCUGCAACUCGACGGCAUGAAGUCGGAGUCGCUAGUAAUCGCGUAACAGCAUGACGCGGUGAAUACGUUCCCGGGCCUUGUACACACCGCCCGUGGGGCGGGGGCGGCGGGCCGGGCGCGGGGCGCGGCGGGCG
RNAcentral lists this ribosomal RNA (371 nucleotides) under uncultured bacterium. RNAcentral describes it as "bacterial SSU rRNA". It matches the Rfam family "Bacterial small subunit ribosomal RNA", at positions 1044 to 1437 of the family's 1533-position model. The record is from RNAcentral.